This 253-nucleotide ribosomal RNA is filed under the name uncultured bacterium. Its description in RNAcentral is "partial 16S ribosomal RNA". It matches the Rfam family "Bacterial small subunit ribosomal RNA", at positions 524 to 776 of the family's 1533-position model. The record is from RNAcentral.
UACGUAGGGUGCGAGCGUUAAUCGGAAUUACUGGGCGUAAAGCGUGCGCAGGCGGUGAUGUAAGACCGAUGUGAAAUCCCCGGGCUUAACCUGGGAACUGCAUUUGUGACUGCAUAGCUAGAGUACGGUAGAGGGGGAUGGAAUUCCGCGUGUAGCAGUGAAAUGCGUAGAUAUGCGGAGGAACACCGAUGGCGAAGGCAAUCCCCUGGACCUGUACUGACGCUCAUGCACGAAAGCGUGGGGAGCAAACAGG